UACGUAGGGGGCAAGCGUUGUCCGGAUUUAUUGGGCGUAAAGAGCUCGUAGGCGGUUUGGUAAGUCAGGUGUGAAAUCUCCACGCUCAACGUGGAGGGGCCACCUGAUACUGCCAUGGCUGGAGUCCGGUAGAGGAGUGUGGAAUUCCCGGUGUAGCGGUGAAAUGCGCAGAUAUCGGGAGGAACACCCGUAGCGAAGGCGGCACUCUGGGCCGGUACUGACGCUGAGUGAGCGAAAGCCAGGGGAGCAAACGGG
RNAcentral lists this ribosomal RNA (255 nucleotides) under uncultured bacterium. RNAcentral describes it as "partial 16S ribosomal RNA". It matches the Rfam family "Bacterial small subunit ribosomal RNA", at positions 524 to 776 of the family's 1533-position model. The record is from RNAcentral.